Molecule: long non-coding RNA, 966 nt
Filed under: Gopherus agassizii (Agassiz's desert tortoise)
Lineage: Eukaryota; Metazoa; Chordata; Testudines; Testudinidae
Description: lncRNA (ENSGAGG00000012566.1)
Source: RNAcentral
GGGGCUGCCGCGCUGGCUGGAAGCAGGCGGGUGGGGGCUCCGCGGGACGGGCCGGCGAUGCUGCACUAAUUAAAACGCGCCCAGCGCCCGCCUGUGGGUUUCCCCUGAUUGCAUUACUGCUGGCCGGGUGCCCGGGCCAGGGCAUCACGUGGGAAAACCCCGGCGCUGGAAGGGGAGGGGUCGAGGUGAGCCAGCCAUUUCCCUCCGCCUUGAUAACCAACUCUCCGCUUUCCCCGCGCCCCUUCUCUGCCUGUCCUGCCGGCUCCGCAGCCAUGGACCCUCCCAGCGCUGUGCCCUACGCCCGCCUGGAGAUCCCCGACCUCGACUCCGUGCCCUCCUACAAGUACUGGUCCAUCUUCAACAUCCUGUGCUGCUGCCUGCCCCUGGGGCUGGUCGCUAUCUUCUACUCGGGACAGGUGGAGGAGUGCCUAGCACGCAGAGACAUCACAGGAGCAAAGGCAGCCUCCAACACUGCAAGAACCAUCAACAUCCUCGCCGUGGUGAUCGGGCUGGCAUGCAUUAGUGUGACCAUAUUCUUUAUGAUCCAGAGAUUUGAGCUGCUCCAAGCAGCACAACCCACCCAGUUUCCCUUACAUUAUAAUUUCGGCUGAGGCCAUGGUGCUGCCCCCUAGGCUUGGGGAGAUGAAACCACCACUGCAAAAAUCUGUCUUUGAAUUCUGCUCUGUUUCGGUUCUCGCUCUUCUUUAUUCUGCUGGUAGCCAGUAAGCUUCCUCUGCAUGUCUUAUGCCCAAGAUCAUCAUCAAGCUGACAGCUGCAGAUAUUGAAUUGGGACUCCCUCUCUCCCAGCCUUCAAUGCAGCCACUUGGGUAUAAUUCUCAUGGCACUAACUCCUUUCUCACUAGACUGGAAAGAAAUCAAGAAAAAGGCACUGAAAUCUUUCCAGGCCACACAGACAGACUUGCUGCCAGUGCUGAGAUUCUUAAAUAAAACUCCCCCUGUAGUGCA